UUUAAUAUGGCAGAAUUUAAGUGCAAUGAAUUUAAGAUUCAUAUAUAAAAUUAUUUUUUAUUAAAA
This 66-nucleotide transfer RNA is filed under the name Hylaeus basalis. RNAcentral describes it as "tRNA-Leu". The record is from RNAcentral. RNAcentral also lists the same sequence under 1 other name. Lineage: Eukaryota; Metazoa; Arthropoda; Insecta; Hymenoptera; Colletidae.